UCGAGUUAGGGUCCUCUGGGCCCGAUCUCCAACCCUGUGUUUAAUCACCACGUUGCUUUGGCGGGCCCGUCUCACGACCGCCGGUGGUUCUCGGACCUCUGGCCCGUGCCCGUCAAUGGCCCCCCUUAAUUCUUGACUAAAAUGUGAUGUCUGAGUUAUAAAAUUAAUAACUA
RNAcentral lists this unclassified non-coding RNA (173 nucleotides) under uncultured Ascomycota. RNAcentral's name for it is "sequence contains ITS1". Lineage: Eukaryota; Fungi; Ascomycota. The record is from RNAcentral.